Molecule: ribosomal RNA, 510 nt
Filed under: uncultured bacterium
Lineage: Bacteria
Description: bacterial SSU rRNA
Rfam family: Bacterial small subunit ribosomal RNA
Source: RNAcentral
UAGUCCACGCCGUAAACGAUGUCUACUUGGAGGUUGUGGCCUUGAGCCGUGGCUUUCGGAGCUAACGCGUUAAGUAGACCGCCUGGGGAGUACGGUCGCAAGAUUAAAACUCAAAUGAAUUGACGGGGCCCGCACAAGCGGUGGAGCAUGUGGUUUAAUUCGAUGCAACGCGAAGAACCUUACCUACUCUUGACAUCCAGAGAAGCCAGUGGAGACACAGGUGUGCCUUCGGGAGCUCUGAGACAGGUGCUGCAUGGCUGUCGUCAGCUCGUGUUGUGAAAUGUUGGGUUAAGUCCCGCAACGAGCGCAACCCUUAUCCUUGUUUGCCAGCGAGUAAUGUCGGGGACUCUAACGAGACUGCCCGCGUAAGCGGAGAGGAAGGUGGGGACGACGUCAAAUCAUCAUGGCCUUUAUGCCUAGGGCUACACACGUGCUACAAUGGCAGGUACAGAGGGUUGCGAAGGGGUGACCUGGAGCUAAUCUCAGAAAGCCUGUCCCAGUUCGGAGUUG